RNAcentral lists this ribosomal RNA (498 nucleotides) under uncultured bacterium. Its description in RNAcentral is "bacterial SSU rRNA". It matches the Rfam family "Bacterial small subunit ribosomal RNA", at positions 30 to 526 of the family's 1533-position model. The record is from RNAcentral.
AUUGAACGCUGGCGGAAUGCUUUACACAUGCAAGUCGAACGGUAGAGGGGGCAACCCCUUGAGAGUGGCGAACGGGUGAGUAAUAUAUCGGAACGUGCCCAGUCGUGGGGAUAACGUAGCGAAAGUUACGCUAAUACCGCAUACGAUCUAAGGAUGAAAGCGGGGGACUCGCAAGAGCCUCGCGCGAUUGGAGCGGCCGAUAUCAGAUUAGGUAGUUGGUGGGGUAAAGGCUCACCAAGCCAACGAUCUGUAGCUGGUCUGAGAGGACGACCAGCCACACUGGAACUGAGACACGGUCCAGACUCCUACGGGAGGCAGCAGUGGGGAAUUUUGGACAAUGGACGCAAGUCUGAUCCAGCCAUUCCGCGUGCAGGAUGAAGGCCCUCGGGUUGUAAACUGCUUUGUACGGAACGAAAAGGUUCCUAUUAAUACUAGGAGCUCAUGACGGUACCGUAAGAUAAGCACGGCUAACUACGUAGCCAGCAGCCGCGGUAAAGU